GCGUCCCACGGAAGGUUCAGGUCCGCCGCAUCUCCUGACACCGUGGGGUUGACCGGUGCCCCGGCAGGCAGGAGUGGCCUCCUUGAAAUGCCUGCGGGAGCACCGGUCGCAUU
RNAcentral lists this small RNA (113 nucleotides) under Stappia sp. ES.058. RNAcentral's name for it is "EcpR1". It matches the Rfam family "EcpR1". Rfam says of the family: Perviously named SmelC291, SmrC10, or Sra33. According to its overproduction phenotype it was renamed Elongated Cell Phenotype RNA1. Lineage: Bacteria; Pseudomonadati; Pseudomonadota; Alphaproteobacteria; Hyphomicrobiales; Stappiaceae. The record is from Rfam by way of RNAcentral.